Long non-coding RNA from Oncorhynchus tshawytscha (Chinook salmon), 813 nucleotides. Lineage: Eukaryota; Metazoa; Chordata; Actinopteri; Salmoniformes; Salmonidae. The record is from Ensembl.
GUCACUGGAUGGAAUAGAUGGCUCCUCCUCCUUUAGAUUUGGCCAUUGUGUUGAUCAGGUCACUGGAUGGAAUAGAUGGCUCCUCCUCCUUUAGAUUUGGCCAUUGUGUUGAUCAGGUCACUGGAUGGAAUAGAUGGCUCCUCCUCCUUUAGAUUUGGCCAUUGUGUUGAUCAGGUCACUGUAUGGAACAGAUGGCUCCUCCUCCUUUAGAUUUGGCCAUUGUGUUGAUCAGGUCACUGUAUGGAACAGAUGGCUCCUCCUCCUUUAGAUUUGGCCAUUGUGUUGAUCAGGAUUGUUUUACAUGUAUUUAACUCUCUUGUUCUGUAGCACUAAACAGUCUCCAUAUAUACUUCCAUUCAUCAUUCCCCAACCGGGACCGUGGCACCUUCAGACCAGUCUGUGGGCGUCCAAGUGCAAAACAAUCAACAUGUCUGUGUCCGGGAGAGUCUCAACUUUCCACAGAGGGGUCGUAUUAGUCUGUAGCCCAAACUGUUUGGACACUUACAGACCAGUGGAGGCUGCUGAGGGGAGGACGGGCUCAUCAUAAUAGCUGGAAUGGAGUCAAUGGAGUGAAAUCAACCAGAUAGAAACCGCGUCUUUGAUGUGUUUGAUACCAUUCCAUUGAAUCCAUUCCAGACAUUAUUAUGAGCCUUCCUCCACUGCUACAGACAGGAGUUGGCAGAUCAGCUGUACCGGCUUCAGGACGAGGAGUUGGCAGAUCAGCUGUACCGACUUCAGACGAGUCUCCAGACGCUUGUGGGGGUCGUAGAGUAAAAUGGAGAACACUGUGUUCGUGACGAGUCUCGUCUUUUU